CCUACGGGAGGCAGCAGUGAGGAAUAUUGGUCAAUGGUCGGAAGACUGAACCAGCCAAGCCGCGUGCAGGAGGAAGGUUCUGAGAAUCGUAAACCGCUUUUGUCAGGGAACAAAGACUGGGACGUGUCUCCUGAUGAGCGUACCUGACGAAUAAGGAUCGGCUAACUCCGUGCCAGCAGCCGCGGUAAUACGGAGGGUGCAAGCGUUAUCCGGAUUUAUUGGGGUUAAAGGGUGCGUAGGCGGGUUGUUAAGUUAGAGGUGAAAUCCCGGGGCUUAACCCGAGAACUGCCGUUAAAACUGGCAAUCUAGAGUAUGGGAGAGGUAGGCGGAAUGCGUGGUGUAGCGGUGAAAUGCAUAGAGAUC
RNAcentral lists this ribosomal RNA (363 nucleotides) under uncultured bacterium. RNAcentral's name for it is "partial 16S ribosomal RNA". It matches the Rfam family "Bacterial small subunit ribosomal RNA", at positions 338 to 698 of the family's 1533-position model. The record is from RNAcentral.